Molecule: non-coding RNA, 95 nt
Organism: Acanthosepion pharaonis
Lineage: Eukaryota; Metazoa; Mollusca; Cephalopoda; Sepiida; Sepiidae
Source: the annotation of a GenBank genome assembly
UGUAAAACCGGUUCCCAUAUGAUCACCAAAGUUAAGCAAUAUUGAGCCUAGUCAGUACCUAGAUGAGUGACCACUGGGGAAUAUCAGGUGCUGUA